CCGGGGCCGCGACGCGUCUCUCCAGCCCGGGAUCCGGGGAGCUGGGCUGUCCCCAGACCGACGGGACAGCGGCAUCUCCUCCACCUGAAAAGGAAAGAGGACCAGUUUGCAGGACUCCGAACUGGGCCCGCGAGAUCUCCACCUGCGCAAAACGAAAGGGCGGAUUCUCCUUGGACUCACGAGGCAACCGCUCCCCGGGGUGAGAACGGGGGACUCAUUCCUCCGGCACUGGGAGAAGACGAUUCUUUAGGAGGAGGACAGGGAAGCGA
RNAcentral lists this long non-coding RNA (269 nucleotides) under Homo sapiens (human). RNAcentral describes it as "non-protein coding LINC01759:27". The record is from RNAcentral. Lineage: Eukaryota; Metazoa; Chordata; Mammalia; Primates; Hominidae.